RNAcentral lists this ribosomal RNA (116 nucleotides) under Sinocyclocheilus grahami. Lineage: Eukaryota; Metazoa; Chordata; Actinopteri; Cypriniformes; Cyprinidae. The record is from RNAcentral.
GCCACAGCCAUAUCACCCUGCAGCCCAAGACUGGUUGCCCACUGAAGCUAAGUAGGUUUGAGCCUGGUUAGUACCUGGAUGGGAGACCUCCUGGGAAAACUAGGUUGCUGCUGGAA